CACGUAGGGCGCAAGCGUUGUCCGGAAUUAUUGGGCGUAAAGAGCUCGUAGGCGGUCUGUUGCGUCUGCUGUGAAAACCCGGGGCUUAACCCCUGGCUUGCAGUGGAUACGGACAGACUAGAGGUAGGUAGGGGAGAAUGGAAUUCCCGGUGUAGCGGUGAAAUGCGCAGAUAUCGGGAGGAACACCGGUGGCGAAGGCGGGUAGCUGGGCCGACACUGACGCUGAGGCGCGAAAGCCAGGGGAGCGAACGGG
RNAcentral lists this ribosomal RNA (253 nucleotides) under uncultured bacterium. RNAcentral's name for it is "partial 16S ribosomal RNA". It matches the Rfam family "Bacterial small subunit ribosomal RNA", at positions 524 to 776 of the family's 1533-position model. The record is from RNAcentral.